Molecule: ribosomal RNA, 460 nt
Filed under: uncultured bacterium
Lineage: Bacteria
Description: partial 16S ribosomal RNA
Rfam family: Bacterial small subunit ribosomal RNA
Source: RNAcentral
CCUACGGGAGGCAGCAGUGAGGAAUAUUGGUCAAUGGACGAGAGUCUGAACCAGCCAAGUAGCGUGAAGGAUGACUGCCCUAUGGGUUGUAAACUUCUUUUAUAUGGGACUAAAAUGUUCCACGUGUGGGAUUUUGUAUGUACCAUAUGAAUAAGGAUCGGCUAACUCCGUGCCAGCAGCCGCGGUAAUACGGAGGAUCCGAGCGUUAUCCGGAUUUAUUGGGUUUAAAGGGAGCGUAGGUGGAUUGUUAAGUCAGUUGUGAAAGUUUGCGGCUCAACCGUAAAAUUGCAGUUGAAACUGGCAGUCUUGAGUACAGUAGAGGUGGGCGGAAUUCGUGGUGUAGCGGUGAAAUGCUUAGAUAGCACGAAGAACUCCGAUUGCGAAGGCAGUUCACUGGACUGCAACUGACACUGAGGCUCGAAAGUGUGGGUAUCAAACAGGAUUAGAUACCCCAGUAGUC